RNAcentral lists this ribosomal RNA (492 nucleotides) under uncultured bacterium. RNAcentral's name for it is "partial 16S ribosomal RNA". It matches the Rfam family "Bacterial small subunit ribosomal RNA", at positions 29 to 507 of the family's 1533-position model. The record is from RNAcentral.
AGUGAACGCUGGCGGUAGGCCUAACACAUGCAAGUCGAACGGCAGCACAGUAAGAGCUUGCUCUUACGGGUGGCGAGUGGCGGACGGGUGAGGAAUACAUCGGAAUCUACUUUUUCGUGGGGGAUAACGUAGGGAAACUUACGCUAAUACCGCAUACGACCUACGGGUGAAAGCAGGGGAUCUUCGGACCUUGCGCGAUUGAAUGAGCCGAUGUCGGAUUAGCUAGUUGGCGGGGUAAAGGCCCACCAAGGCAACGAUCCGUAGCUGGUCUGAGAGGAUGAUCAGCCACACUGGAACUGAGACACGGUCCAGACUCCUACGGGAGGCAGCAGUGGGGAAUAUUGGACAAUGGGCGCAAGCCUGAUCCAGCCAUACCGCGUGGGUGAAGAAGGCCUUCGGGUUGUAAAGCCCUUUUGUUGGGAAAGAAAGGCAGCAGGUUAAUACCCCGCUGUUCUGACGGUACCCAAAGAAUAAGCACCGGCUAACUUCGUG